CACGUAGUUAGCCGUGGCUUUCUGAUUAGGUACCGUCAAGAUGUGCACAGUUACUUACACAUUCGUUCUUCCCUAAUAACAGAGUUUUACGAGCCGAAACCCUUCAUCACUCACGCGGCGUUGCUCCGUCAGGCUUUCGCCCAUUGCGGAAGAUUCCCUACUGCUGCCUCCCGUAGGAGUCUGGACCGUGUCUCAGUUCCAGUGUGGCCGAUCACCCUCUCAGGUCGGCUACGUAUCGUCGCCUUGGUAAGCCGUUACCUUACCAACUAGCUAAUACGGCGCGGGUCCAUCUAUAAGUGAUAGCAAAACCAUCUUUCACUUUAGAACCAUGCGGUUCUAAAUGUUAUCCGGUAUUAGCUCCGGUUUCCCGAAGUUAUCCCAGUCUUAUAGGUAGGUUACCCACGUGUUACUCACCCGUCCGCCGCUAACUUCAAAGGAGCAAGCUCCUUAUCUGUUCGCUCGACUUGCAUGUAUUAGGCACGCCGCCAGCGUUCAUCCUGAGCCAGGAUCAAACUCU
RNAcentral lists this ribosomal RNA (517 nucleotides) under uncultured Staphylococcus sp. RNAcentral describes it as "partial 16S ribosomal RNA". Lineage: Bacteria; Bacillati; Bacillota; Bacilli; Caryophanales; Staphylococcaceae. The record is from RNAcentral.